CUCCUUCUUGAGGAUCUCUUUAAGAGGCUGCAUUCCAAUGGCCUAGCCCCCAAAGGUAAGUGUCAACAUCUUGGGUCUUUCGAUUAUAAGGCCGGCUGUACUGAUCUCGAUGUUGGUGCAAGCAUAGUGCUUUCUCUGAGGGAACCAUCUGGCUGUCCUAAAGAGAAGAAGGAAAAGAAGAGGAAGAAGAUUGUUUUCUCUCCUCCUCCUGAGGCAGUCGAAGCCACUGUUGCUAAAGUUGGGGUCGCCACAGCUUAGGUUGUUGAGCCUAAAGUGGUGG
This 280-nucleotide long non-coding RNA is filed under the name Elaeis guineensis (African oil palm). Its description in RNAcentral is "long non-coding RNA (EGUI_LNC062030)". Lineage: Eukaryota; Viridiplantae; Streptophyta; Magnoliopsida; Arecales; Arecaceae. The record is from RNAcentral.